This 590-nucleotide ribosomal RNA is filed under the name Chlorophyllum sp. Its description in RNAcentral is "partial large subunit ribosomal RNA". It matches the Rfam family "Eukaryotic large subunit ribosomal RNA", at positions 31 to 623 of the family's 3401-position model. The record is from RNAcentral. Lineage: Eukaryota; Fungi; Basidiomycota; Agaricomycetes; Agaricales; Agaricaceae.
GAAUUAAGCAUAUCAAUAAGCGGAGGAAAAGAAACUAACAAGGAUUCCCCUAGUAACUGCGAGUGAAGUGGGAAAAGCUCAAAUUUAAAAUCUGGCAGUCUUUGGCUGUCCGAGUUGUAAUCUAGAGAAGUAAUGCCCGCGCUGGACCAUGUACAAGUCUCCUGGGAUGGAGCAUCAUAGAGGGUGAGAAUCCCGUCUCUGACAUGGACUACCAGGGCUUUGUGGUAUGCUCUCAAAGAGUCGAGUUGUUUGGGAAUGCAGCUCAAAAUGGGUGGUAAAUUCCAUCUAAAGCUAAAUAUUGGCGAGAGACCGAUAGCGAACAAGUACCGUGAGGGAAAGAUGAAAAGAACUUUGGAAAGAGAGUUAAACAGUACGUGAAAUUGCUGAAAGGGAAACACUUGAAGUCAGUCAUGUUGGCCAGGGAUCAGCCUCGCUUUUGCGUGGUGUACUUUCUGGUUGAUGGGUCAGCAUCAAUUUUGACUGCUGGAAAAAGGCUUGGGGAAUGUGGCAGCUUCGGCUGUGUUAUAGCCCCUGGUCACAUACAGUGGUUGGGAUUGAGGAACUCAGCACGCCACAAGGCCGGGUUACGA